AGGAUGAACGCUGGCGGCGUGCUUAACACAUGCAAGUCAUGGGGGCCCAGCAAUGGGCAACCGGCGAACGGGUGCGUAACACGUGAGCAACCUACCCAGGUGUGGGGGAUAGCCGUCCCAACGGACGGGUAAUACCGCAUACGCUCAACACGAGGCAUUUCGAGUUGAGGAAACCUUCGGGGCACCAUGAGGGGCUCGCGGCCUAUCAGCUAGUUGGCGAGGUAACGGCUCACCAAGGCUACGACGGGUAGCUGGUCUGAGAGGAUGUCCAGCCACAGUUGGGACUGGACGAAACCGGCCCAG
This 303-nucleotide ribosomal RNA is filed under the name uncultured soil bacterium. RNAcentral's name for it is "bacterial SSU rRNA". It matches the Rfam family "Bacterial small subunit ribosomal RNA", at positions 26 to 334 of the family's 1533-position model. The record is from RNAcentral.